AAGGAGAGACAAAGCAUGCCAUGAGUAACUUGAGGUGAUGGUGGAGGUGGCUACUACCCUGGAAGGGUGGCAGUGAGGAAGGAAGAUUUACCCUGUCAGGUCAAAAGGCAGGAGUAUGAAAAGGAAGGUGUGAGAGGGCACAAGAGAUCCCCCACAGCAGAGCCAGAGCACCUCCCCACUGCAUUCUUGAAAGCCCUUUGUGGCUGCUUCCUUUACUGGUAAGGGCCCUUCAGAGAUCUAAGUAUGGGUCACAAAGGAACAGACAGGAAGUUGUUUCUCAUCUUCCAGAUGGGGAAACUAAGCUUGUCUAGAAGUUCCUUUCUGCUGUGAGCAUACCACAUGCUCAGCAAUGAGUGCCGCCUUGCCACACUCACCCCAUCCUGGUCUCCACACCCUUCUUUUCCAAGUAUGCUAAGCAUCUCCUGAACCACUCAGGAUUCAAGAGCAGAAACCUCGGGUCUGGGUGGCCUACCUUGGACAAGUCCCUACUCAGUGGAAAUCAAUGUGAUCCUACCUUGAAAAAAAAUGAAGAGGUGGUGGUGGUAGAGGGAGAGAAAUUGAUAUUCUUCUCAUUUUAAAGGUCCUUGUUCCCCUUGAAACUAUUCAAGUUAUAUUCGCACUUUCAUUUGACUCCCCUACUCCAUGGCUUCAAAUUCCAUGGGCUCUUCACUAUCACAGUAAUCCAAGCUAAUUGACUUAGGAGUCAGUUAUGGGAGGUUUCUAGUGUGCACUCAGCUUACUGCCUCCCUCUAAUUCCCAACAGAGCACAAGACCCAGGCAGAAAAACUAAUGACCAUCCUCCUCUCUCCCAGGGUACCCCUGUGACAGGCACAGCGUCCCACUCAGCACAGUCAGCCAGGAUCUGUUGAAUGUCCUGCUCUCAGGAGGCUCCCCUGCUGGCACGCUGGCUCUAGGGUGGCAAGGACCUUAUUUGGUUUGGUUCCCCAACAUAUCGAUCCCCAGUGCCAAGCACCAUGCCUGCAUGACAGCUUCUCAGUGACAAUAGUUGUUAAAACAGCUUCAGAACAACUCACCGAAGGAGGUUGAUUCCUUGGAGCAUACCGAGAAACAAGUUUUAUGGAAGAAAUUCCUCUAAAAAUGACUCAUGAAGAAACAGUAGGGGUGAAGGCUCCUAAAGAUAUAUGAGAUUACAGUGGGAUUCACUUCAGCACUGGUUACAGCAGCUAAGAAUGGGAAACAAUGGGACUGGUGAAAUUAAUGAAGGUCAGUGGUUCUACUGAAAUGCUCUGCAAUGGUUUAAACAACGCAGAUGGACUUGCACUGGCACAGAAGGGGGUCUGAUAUACUGUCAAGUGAAAAGGGUGAGUUCUAUUGGAUGCCACUUUUUGCAAAAACAACUAAAAAUCUGAGUGUGAAUAGCUGAUAUACUUUAGACCAGAAGGCUAAACAUCACUCAACAAUGGUUAACUCUCGAAAGGGGGAUGACAGAAGCCUUCAUUUUCUACUUUACUCACUUUUGCAUUGCUUGAAAUUUUUGUAAUUGUGUAUGCUUUUUGUAAAGUAUGUGAGAUGAGUCUCAAUGGCUAUGCUUCCUGUAGGAAGGGCGUGGGAGGAGGGUGACCUGGGGUGGAGCACUCAGGUGUUCAGAUGGUUCAGCCCUUCUGGCUUUUCAGAUCUUUCACAUUUCUGCCUCCAGCUACUCUUAAGUGCAAAGUCAUGCUUUCCAAACUUAAUGAAGAAAAGAAUUGCAACACACAAAUCCAGGCCUGCUUUUGUGAGUGAGGAUGGAGGGAGAAAGAUUUUUCUAAUCGAAGCCUAACAACCAGCCCUGAGGUCCUGAUGAUUCAUCUUUCUUCAGCAAAUCCUUCCACCUGCCCUGAGGAAGCAGGAGCCAGGGCUUGCUGCAGAGCCUUCCAGCAAGUGUCUCCCACUUUGCUGAGGAAUGUGGCUUUGUCCCGGGCCCUAGAAGCCACCAGGAGAUCUCCUUGGAUCUGGCUGCAUUCCCUACUGGAAUCCUGAGCGGCACCAUUUCCCACCAGAAGCGGGAAUGCUGUCCUGGGAGGGCGGCUCCUUUCCUCACUCCCUCCCCAACCCAUCCUCUUGUAACCAGUUCAACUGACCCCAUUAUCAACAGAACGAUUAAGAAUUGCCUUUCCAAAAAUCUGCAAAGUCAUGUAGCUAGAGCAGGCCCAAAAGAAGAAAUCUUAACCUGCAAUGACCUCGGGACCAAAGAUCCUCCUUCCCACAGAAUCCAAGGACUGGGACACAAUUGGAACCUGAAAGUCAGACUUUUAUCAGAAGCGAGGGGUCUGUCCUUCAGGAAGAUCCGAUGUUAAAAUUCCUUCCCAUCCUCAUCAAAAAUGUUUAGAACCCUGUCAUCAUGUUUAGAACUUUACCAUCAAUGCUUGAAGCCCACCAAUGAAAACCUGUCCCACCAGCGUUUCCACGUGCCAGGCUGUUCUCCCUAACUUCUUAAAUUUCACCCCAGAUCCUCCAUUGGCAAGAGAGAUCCGAGGGCACAUGCCCCACCCCCGUCCUCUCUGCAGAUGGAUCUUGCAGAAUAAAGCUGAUCUCUUUUCCCAAAA
Equus quagga is the source of this 2546-nucleotide long non-coding RNA. RefSeq lists it as uncharacterized. Lineage: Eukaryota; Metazoa; Chordata; Mammalia; Perissodactyla; Equidae. The transcript has 2 exons. The record is from RefSeq and is a predicted model, not a curated record.